GGCGAACGCUGGCGGCGGGCUUAACACAUGCAAGUCGAACGGAAACGCCCCUAUGGGGUUCCUCUAGUGGCGGACGGGUGAGUAACGCGUGGGUAACCAUCCCUUUCCUUCUGUACGAGGUGGGGAAAGUAGGGCUACUACCGCAUAGACAGCAUAGCUGCAUCGGGGGAGUGGGAAAGCUUUUGGGGCUUUGGAUGGAUUGGCGGCGUAUAAGCGGGUUGGCGGGUUAGUGGCUUACCAGGGCACUGACGGGUAGACCGCCUGAGAGGGUGAACGGCGAUACUGGGACUGAGAUACGGCACAGACUCCGACGGGAGGCAGAAGUGGGGAAGAUUGCACCAUGCGCGGAGGCCUGAUGAAGCAAGGCCGCGUGCGGUAUGACGGCUUUGUGGUUAAAAACAGCCUUCAGCAGGGGCGAAGCUUGUGGUGACGGUACCUGAAGAAGAAGCACCGGCUAACUACGUG
RNAcentral lists this ribosomal RNA (465 nucleotides) under uncultured bacterium. Its description in RNAcentral is "partial 16S ribosomal RNA". It matches the Rfam family "Bacterial small subunit ribosomal RNA", at positions 28 to 507 of the family's 1533-position model. The record is from RNAcentral.